RNAcentral lists this unclassified non-coding RNA (259 nucleotides) under uncultured fungus. Its description in RNAcentral is "partial contains 18S rRNA, ITS1, 5.8S rRNA". Lineage: Eukaryota; Fungi. The record is from RNAcentral.
GCAGAAGGAUCAUUAGUGAAGAUUUGGGCAGGCCAUACGGACGCCAAAAAAGUGUCCCUGGCCGCCUACACCCACUAUACAUCCACAAACCCGUGUGCACUGUCUUGGAGAAAGGCUUCUUGAGAAGUUAUGUGACCUCUCUUGGAGGUCUUUCUUCGCUACAAACUCGAAUGGUUAGUAUGAACGUGGAACUUGGUUGGACCGUCACUGGCCAACAAACUAUACACAACCUUCGACAACGGAUCUCUUGGUUCUCCCA